AAGAUAACACUAUUGUUGUAGUAGGCAGGAGGGGUUUUGAAUGAUCUUCAUGAGACUUGACCUCUUCAAUCAGACAGGCUUUGACCAUCCUUGCUCAAAGACAACGCUGCACUUAGACUAUGCCUGUAGCCCAAGUCAGGUAGCGCCUGGUGCCGAGCGCUCCCCCCCUGCCCCCAAGUCUUCACGCGCUCGAACAUCUCCGUUUGGCCUCAUUUUUGUGCUUCGGUGGUAUCUGCACAGCCCAAAUUAGCAGCGAGGAUUCCACGGACGGGGGCCGCUGCCUCCCUGGGC
Molecule: long non-coding RNA, 291 nt
Organism: Lepidothrix coronata (blue-crowned manakin)
Lineage: Eukaryota; Metazoa; Chordata; Aves; Passeriformes; Pipridae
Exons: 3
Source: RefSeq, a predicted model, not a curated record